UACGGAGGGAGCAAGCGUUGUUCGGAAUUACUGGGUGUAAAGGGCGUGUAGGCGUCUUUUAAGUCAGACGUGAAAUCUUUCGGCUCAACCGGAAACCUGCGUUUGAAACUGGAAGGCUUGAGUCAUGGAGAGGAAAGUGGAAUUCCUGGUGUAGCGGUGAAAUGCGUAGAUAUCAGGAAGAACACCAGUGGCGAAGGCGACUUUCUGGCCAUGUACUGACGCUGAGGCGCGAAAGCCAGGGGAGCGAACGGGAUUAGAUACCCCCGUA
Molecule: ribosomal RNA, 268 nt
Filed under: uncultured prokaryote
Description: partial 16S ribosomal RNA
Rfam family: Bacterial small subunit ribosomal RNA
Source: RNAcentral